This 449-nucleotide ribosomal RNA is filed under the name uncultured bacterium. Its description in RNAcentral is "partial 16S ribosomal RNA". It matches the Rfam family "Bacterial small subunit ribosomal RNA", at positions 29 to 523 of the family's 1533-position model. The record is from RNAcentral.
AACGAACGCUGGCGGCAUGCCUAACACAUGCAAGUCGAACGAGAUCUUCGGGUCUAGUGGCGCACGGGUGCGUAACGCGUGGGAAUCUGCCCUUUGGUUCGGAAUAACAGUUGGAAACGACUGCUAAUACCGGAUGAUGACGAAAGUCCAAAGAUUUAUCGCCGGAGGAUGAGCCCGCGUAGGAUUAGCUAGUUGGUGUGGUAAGGGCGCACCAAGGCGACGAUCCUUAGCUGGUCUGAGAGGAUGAUCAGCCACACUGGGACUGAGACACGGCCAAGACUGCUACGGGAGGCAGCGGUGGGGAAUAUUGGACAAUGGGCGAAAGCCUGGUCCAGCAAUGCCGCGUGAGUGAUGAAGGCCUUAGGGUUGUAAAGCUCUUUUACCCGGGAUGAUAAUGACGGUACCGGGAGAAUAAGCUCCGGCUAACUCCGUGCCAGCCGCCGCAGUAA